UUUUCUCUGCUUUUCCCUACCCCGGUCACUCUCAUUUCUCUCCCCUAUUCCUUGUCUCUUCCCCCAUCCCCCUUUCUCCUGUCCCACCCUGCCUCUACAGUGGUUCUCCCCGCUGAGCUGCCACCAGCUGCUGGGCCCUGGGCUGCUGCGGCUGGGCCGCCUAUGGCUGCGGUCCCCCUCCCAUACAGCCCCGGCCCCUGGUCUCUGGCUGUCAGGGUUUGGCCUCCUUCGUGGUGACCACCUCUUCCUGUGCUCAGCGCCGGGCCCUGGCCCCCCAGCCCCUGAGGACAUGGUGCAUCUGCGGCGGCUACAGGAGAUCAGUGUGGUUUCUGCAGCUGACACCCCAGACAAGAAAGAGCAUUUGGUCCUGGUGGAGACAGGAAGGACCCUGUAUCUGCAAGGAGAGGGCCGGCUGGACUUCACGGCAUGGAACGCAGCCAUUGGGGGCGCGGCUGGUGGGGGCGGCACAGGGCUGCAGGAGCAGCAGAUGAGCCGGGGUGACAUCCCCAUCAUCGUGGAUGCCUGCAUCAGUUUUGUUACCCAGCAUGGGCUCCGGCUGGAAGGUGUAUACCGGAAAGGGGGCGCUCGUGCCCGCAGCCUGAGACUCCUGGCUGAGUUCCGUCGGGAUGCCCGGUCGGUGAAGCUCCGACCAGGGGAGCACUUUGUGGAGGAUGUCACUGACACACUCAAACGCUUCUUUCGUGAGCUCGAUGACCCUGUGACCUCUGCACGGUUGCUGCCUCGCUGGAGGGAGGCUGCUGGUAUUCCUAAGAUCCCUGAGAACCAAGGCCCAACCAGGAUCUCUGCCUUCCCCCACCAGAAUCCAUGGUUUGGCAGCCCUCCUCCCCAUCACUUCCCACCCUGGGGGAUCAUCCAGAGACUUGGCUCGGGGGGAGGUGGGAAGGGGGCAGAGACACAUCCAUCCUGCAUUUGUGUCUAAAAAUCCCUCCCUCCAUACCAGCUGCCACUCUUUCUUCCUGGGUCCUCCCCAACCCUCCUCCAUUCCAUCCCCAGAGCUGCCCCAGAAGAAUCAGCGCCUGGAGAAAUAUAAAGACGUGAUUGGCUGCCUGCCACAGGUCAACCGCCGCACACUGGCCACCCUCAUUGGGCAUCUCUAUCGGGUGCAGAAAUGUGCGGCUCUAAACCAGAUGUGCACGCGGAACCUGGCUCUGCUGUUUGCACCCAGCGUGUUCCAGACGGAUGGGCGAGGGGAGCACGAGGUGCGGGUGCUGCAAGAGCUCAUCGACGGCUACAUCUCUGUCUUUGACAUCGAUUCUGACCAGGUAGCUCAGAUUGACUUGGAGGUCAGUCUUAUCACCACCUGGAAGGAUGUGCAGCUGUCUCAGGCUGGAGACCUCAUCAUGGAAGUUUAUAUAGAGCAGCAGCUCCCAGACAACUGUGUCACCCUGAAGGUGUCCCCAACCCUGACUGCUGAGGAGCUGACUAACCAGGUACUGGAGAUGCGGGGGACAGCAGCUGGGAUGGACUUGUGGGUGACUUUUGAGAUUCGCGAGCAUGGGGAGCUGGAGCGGCCACUGCAUCCCAAGGAAAAGGUCUUAGAGCAGGCCUUACAAUGGUGCCAGCUCCCAGAGCCCUGCUCAGCCUCCCUACUCUUGAAAAAAGUCCCCCUGGCCCAAGCUGGCUGCCUCUUCACAGGUGAGCCUCCUUCCUCUGCCCAGCAUCCCCCAGGUCUCUCCCCUAGCACCCUCCACCCAGGAUUGCCCAUCUAUGCCCAGGUAUCCGACGUGAGAGCCCACGGGUGGGGCUGUUGCGGUGUCGUGAGGAGCCACCCCGCUUGCUGGGAAGCCGCUUCCAGGAGAGGUUCUUUCUGCUGCGUGGCCGCUGCCUGCUGCUGCUCAAGGAGAAGAAAAGCUCUAAACCAGAACGGGAGUGGCCUUUGGAAGGUGCCAAGGUCUACCUGGGAAUCCGCAAGAAGUUAAAGCCCCCAACACCGUGGGGCUUCACAUUGAUACUGGAGAAAAUGCACCUCUACUUGUCCUGCACUGACGAGGAUGAGAUGUGGGAUUGGACCACCAGCAUCCUUAAAGCCCAGCAUGACGACCAGCAGCCAGUGGUCUUACGACGCCGUUCUUCCUCUGACCUUGCCCGUCAGAAGUUUGGCACUAUGCCUUUGCUGCCUAUCCGUGGGGAUGACAGUGGAGCCACCCUCCUCUCUGCCAAUCAGACCCUGCGGCGACUACACAACCGGAGGACCCUGUCCAUGUUCUUUCCGAUGAAGUCAUCCCAGGGGUCUAUGGAGGAGCAAGAGGAGCUGGAGGAGCCUGUGUACGAGGAGCCAGUGUAUGAGGAAGUAGGGGCCUUCCCUGAGUUGACCCAGGACACUUCUACCUCCUUCUCCACCACACGGGAGUGGACAGUGAAGCCAGAGAACCCCCUCACCAGCCAGAAGUCCUUGGAUCAACCCUUUCUCUCCAAGUCAAGCACCCUUGGCCAGGAGGAGAGGCCACCUGAGCCCCCUCCAGGCCCCCCUUCAAAGAGUGGUCCUCAGGCACGGGGGUCCCUGGAGGAACAGCUGCUCCAGGAGCUCAGCAGCCUCAUCCUGAGGAAAGGAGAGACCACUGCCGGCCUGGGAAGUCCUUCCCAGCCAUCCAGCCCCCAAUCCCCCAGCCCCACUGGCCUUCCAACACAGACACCUGGCUUCCCCACCCAACCCCCGUGCACUUCCAGUCCACCCUCCAGCCAGCCCCUCACAUGACCCUAGGACCAGCAGUCUGAGAGGGUAGGUACCAGAAGACCCAGAAGCUCUUAUCAUGGCACUGUUGCAGCUUCCUCUGCCCUGGCUGGAAAGACUCCAGAAUCCAGUGUGGUGCUGUGGAAGGAGCACUGGACUGAAGGCUUCAGUGGCUGCGUGUCCCAGGACAGGUCAUGGCCCCUCUCUGGGCCCAGCCCAUUUAUCUGUACCAUGAGGUAACUGAAGUAAGGAGAGCAGUGAAUAUCAAACUGUGUUUCUUAGAACCAUAAGCCCCACAUAUUUUCCCUGAACAAGGGCAGCUCCUGCUUUAUAUAUUUGAUAUGUAGGGGUUCUGUGAGAGAUUUUGGGUUUUAAAGGAAUGGUUUUACUGCAUUAAAGAAAAAAAAUGCUUUGGAAACCAGAGGCCUGGAUGAUGUUAAAGUCUAUCCUGUCCCACUUCCUACAUUCUGGGACUACAGUGAAGCCUGGAGUAGGGAGAGUGAUUGAGUUUGGGAGCUGGGACGGGGGGAGUCAAAAAUAGAUGAGUAAUUGUCAAUAAACCUUGGAACC
Molecule: small RNA, 3262 nt
Filed under: Pongo abelii (Sumatran orangutan)
Lineage: Eukaryota; Metazoa; Chordata; Mammalia; Primates; Hominidae
Description: processed transcript
Source: RNAcentral